GGAAAGAAAAAAAAAACAAAUGCCCUCUUUUGCUCUGAUAGGGUUUAGUCCCUAGUGUCCUCGCGCCGCCUUUCGUCAGCCUCCUCACCAAAGCCCCGAUCGCGACGGAGAUGGUGGUGGCGCGGCAACCUCAGGUAAGUUUCCCUUUCUUUUUCUUUGUUAUUUUGCGAAAUAAUAAUGAAAAAAAAAAGAAACGUUUGUAAAUAAAAAUGGACACUGCGAAAUAAAUAAAAAAUCACCUUUGAAAAAACAAAUUCUAUAUCUGUAUUUUCUCUAUCCUUUUUCGUAUCUAUUUUCCUCUCCUCCCCUUUACAAAGUAAAAAUAUGACUUUAUAUAGCCCAAAACUAACUUCUUUUCCACUAUAUUUUUGCUGAUGGACUCUCUGAGUCCGUGUUUGCAGGCAUUCGUGGAGCGCACGUGGAGGAUCGGCCCCGAGACAUGCGGCGGUUGGAAGCUUUGCUGGAGGCGGGGAGGCUGCUAGGCAAACAUGCGGCUAGGGUUUUGUUUUUGGUUUUUAGUUUUGCUGUGUUGGACUAUUUUAAUUGGGCUUGUAUUUUAAAGAUUUGGGCUGUGCUUUAUUUUGUACUGGCCUGGGCCAGUUGGGCCUAUUACAAAAAAUAUUUGUUUUUUUAAAUAAAGCCACCAUGUGGUAUUUUGUGAUUGACAAUCCAAAAUUUUUUAACGUCUAUAAAAUAAAGGA
Molecule: long non-coding RNA, 701 nt
Filed under: Gossypium barbadense (sea-island cotton)
Lineage: Eukaryota; Viridiplantae; Streptophyta; Magnoliopsida; Malvales; Malvaceae
Description: long non-coding RNA (GBAR_LNC020287)
Source: RNAcentral